AAAUUAUAGAAAAAUUCAUCGCCUCUAACUCAAAAUAUGGACAAUUUUAUCUUUAGGGCGUCUUGAAAUCUUUUGACAGCUUCCGAAGUGCUAUUUUUCAACCUUUUUCACCUGGACCAAAUCACUACUUUCCUUUAAAAUUCUGGACCCAAAUUUUUUUAGUGUAAUUUCACCCCCUUACUUGCAAUAUGAGGCAUUAAACAUGGAGAAAUAAAUUUAGAAGGGGUAUAAAAAUUAAUGGCAAGUAACCCACUGUCAACACUAGGGACUAUAUUUGUGAACAACGAAAAUCAAGGGACAACAAUUGUGGUCUCGGACCAUAACUAUUCAAAUGAGGAAACAGGGGGAGGAAUUUUAACUCUAACAGUUUUAUUAAUUUUGUUAUUAAAGGUUUUCUUAAUAGUUUUUUCUUUGAAAAUAUUUCUUUAAACUUUUCAAUCCCCCACAGUUCUACUUUACCUGAAAUAGAAACCUUUGAAGAUAUUUUAUUUGCAAAUUGGUGUUAUAUUGAUUUAAAGGUAUUUGCACAAAUUUAGAUCUAAUAUCAGCCAAACAUAUUUGGGUAAGUUAUGUUUGAAAGAAUGCACACAUAUGUAUUAAAUGUACAAUGUUGCAGCAUUUUUAUGAAAGAUAAAUUUAUUAGAACAAUUUGAAAGUUUUUCUUAUAAAUCAGUUCAUGACAUUAUUUAAGUGAACAAAAUAUUUGUUAAGAUUGAGGGAAACAAUACCAUACUGGCACAUCAUAUUUCAUACCAAAUGAUGUUUAGUAUAAAUAUCUUUUUGCUGUAUUCAAG
RNAcentral lists this long non-coding RNA (794 nucleotides) under Mytilus galloprovincialis (Mediterranean mussel). Lineage: Eukaryota; Metazoa; Mollusca; Bivalvia; Mytilida; Mytilidae. The record is from RNAcentral.